GUGGCAAGUGGUGCUUUCUCCCUGAGCCCUGACUCACUGUGCGGGAGGGGCAGCUCAAACCUGCAGAUACAUAAUGACUAUUGGCAACCCCAGAGGCCUCCCCAGAGAAAUGCACGAGUGGAACAGAGCAGUAGGUGCGGUGUACUACAGUGCCUGAAGAGCAGUCUACUCACAGACCGUCAGGGAUGAAAACUGGCUACUCCAUUGAGCACAAAGCCCAGGAUUUAAAGCUGGUGUAUGAGAAGGUGGAGAUUUCUCAAGCACAGGAUGAGAUCACCCACAUGUUCUAUGCCUAUUGUUACCUGCUCUGGAAGUGAGCUCCUACUGGCCAUGGAGGAUCUGCUCAUUGGGCUGAACUAGCCUACAGGGACUUCACUGCCUCUGCCAAGCCCAGGAGUGCUGCUCCCUUACUCUAAUGGCUCUAAUGAGACUCAGAGCAGGCACAAGAAAAGGCAGAAAGCUUUCUGAGCAAGAGGCUGGCUAAUGAGCUGUUGAUACAACAGUUACAUAAUUGUAAGAGAUAUUACAGCUAGGAAAGUGGUGUGCCUGUAGUCCCAGCUACUUGAGAAGCUGAGGCAGGAGGAUUGCUUGAGACCAGGAUGUUCAGAGCCAGCCUGGGCAACACUGCAAGACUGUCUCAGAAACAAAACAAAACAAAACAAAACAACAAUGACAAAAGACAUUACAGAGGCAGCCAAUAAGUAUCUCCCCUUGGGAAGAAGCUAGACAUGAAUGCUGUGACUCAUGAGUAUAUCCAAAGUAGGGGACCACCAAUCAAGACUCAGGGGCUGAGGAGUCUUCAGCAUUGAAAGUCUUCACUUGGCCUCCUCAGGUCACUGAGCUCUCCCUGAGCCAUAUGUGAGACCUGGUGCUGGUCUCCCAGGGCACAGGGCACCUGUCCUGUGAUCUUGCAAUCUUAAAAUAACAGGAAGUUAUAAUACACAAUGCUGCUGUUGUUUCUUGACUGAGUGCCUGAAUAUGGGUGCCAAGGGGGGAUCUGCCCUCCCCUUUUCAUUCUGAUUCAAGGAUUGAAACCACUGUUCCCUUUGGAGUGAGGUUCACUGCAAGAGCCAUGGGGCAUUCUGAUUGUUUUGGGACAUUUUCCUCCCUGAACUGGAAAAUAAACAAUCCCUGAAAGCAA
Molecule: long non-coding RNA, 1141 nt
Organism: Heterocephalus glaber (naked mole-rat)
Lineage: Eukaryota; Metazoa; Chordata; Mammalia; Rodentia; Bathyergidae
Source: RefSeq, a predicted model, not a curated record